AAUGGGGGGGAGCUUCCUCCAUCUUUAUUUUAGAGACAUGGGGGAUUUUCAGGUAAGGUGUUAGGAUAUGAAAGCAAUGUCCUCUUCCCCUGGGGAGAGGCUAAAAUAGGGAGAGAUGGGGAAGGAAAUCCUUGAGGGAGCCCCAGGCAUUAGUCCAACCAGGAGCACUAAGGGCCAGAACCAGAACAUGUUACUUGGCCUGAGUGUGACUUCUGGUGUAAGAAAAACAGACCCUGAAGGUCUUUGUGAAACCUUAGUUUCUCCUUCUAAAGAAAUGCCUGUUUAUUUUACAGAUGCAAAGGGUAACCACAUUAAUUCCAAGGCAGUUUUCCAAAGUAUUAUAAUGAUCCCAACAAGAAAAUGGCAUUUCAGUUCAAAUGUUACUGAGUUCCAGGGAAACGGUUAGAUACCCAGGCUGUGGAACUGGGUUGGAUGCAGGACUCAGGAUCCAGAGACAAGGAAGGCAGCAUCAUAAGUCAGCCACCCAUAAAUGCAAUAUUAUAAUAGUCCCAAUUUCUUUUUGAGGUUUGUUCCAAUCAACAGCAACUGAAACACAACUCAGAGUAAGUUAGGCAGAGAAAGAAAAUUGUUGAACUAAUAUAACUGUGAGAUCCUAUGAUGGAGCUGACCUCAGGAUUCCCAAGGACUUAAGAAAUCUCUAGAUAGAUAGAUAGAUAGAUAGAUAGAUAGAUAGAUAGAUAGAGACAUAGAUAGAGAAAAAAAUAGAUAUAGAUAGAAUAAAUAGAUGAUAAAUACAUAGGAUAGAUAGAUAAAUAGCUAGAUGAUAGGUAAUAUAUAUAGAUAUGUAGAUGUUUAAUAGAUACAUAAAAUAGGUAGAUAAAUAGGAUGGAUAGAUACAUAAUUGAUAGAUAACUAGGACAGAUAGAUACAUGAUAGAUACAUUGAUACACAGGAUAGAUAAAUGAUAGGUAGAUAGAUAAGAUGGAUAGAUACAUAGAUAAAUAGAUUAGAUAGGAGAGAUGAUAGAUAGAUAGGUAGAUAGAUAGAUAGAUAGUUAGAAUAAGAUGGUUGAUAGUCACAUAGAAUAAGAUGGAUGAUAGAUAGAUGAUAGAGGGAUAGAAAGAUAGGAUAGAUGAUGGGUAGAUGGUUAGAUAGAUAGGAUAGAUGAUAGAUAGAUAAUAGAUAGAUGGAAUAAAUAUCGUAUAACUGCAUAAACAAAUGUAUGGAAAUAAGCAAAUAAUCAUGACUUAAAUAAGAUGGAAGUUUGUUUCUCUCUGAUAUGAUAGGAGGCCAGAACAAGGGGUCCAGGUUAUUGUACAGAUUCAAGAUGUCAGGCAUUUUGAAUGUUGUUGCUCCACUAUUUUAGUAUGUGACUUUCUACUCAUGGUUCAAUAUGGUGGCAUGGUCUCCAGCCCUCACAUCUCCAUUGCAGCUAGCAGCAAAAGGAGAGGGAAGAGUUCACAUUCACUUUUUUACAAAAUUAAAGAGAUUUUUAUGGUCUUAAUACAUUCCUACUUACUUCUCAUGAGCUCAAAGUUCAUCAUACAGUCACACAGAGCUGCAAGGGAGUCUAGGAAAAACAGUCUCAAAAAGUAGAGGUGGACAGCUUCUCAGGGAUCUCCCAAGUUCUGAUGACUCUCUCAACUCUCUGCUUCUCUCUGGGUUCCAGACUAGAUUCUCUCAGAAAAAGUCUUGGAAUAUAGGAUGGAAAAAAAAAAUCCAGCUGCUGUAGCUAUAGAUUCACAGUCUGAGCUUCUCCCACCACCCUCUCAGUCUUUGCUGAUCAAAUUCAGGGGAAGGUUAACUAGCCUGUCUUGAACCAUAUGUCUAUCUCUGGGAUAAUCUCUGCACCUGAGAAAGGCUGGCUUCUCAGAGCAGAUGAUUUUGUUGUUGUUGUUGUUAAACUUUAAAAGAUGAAUCAGAUGUUACAAUGACUCAGGGCUGGGCAGGCAAACUCAGGGAACUAGGAAAUUGAUGAUGGAGUCAGAGAUUGAGGUGCUGGGUGUGAUGUGAUGAAGUACAGACAGAGAGGCCACAUCUUUCCAUGUGUGAAUUUAUGAAAGAUCUCAGACACUUAGGUAAGGAUCCUGAACUAUUCUCUGCAGUUGAUGAGAAACCACCAACAUUUUGUGACCAGUCAUGUCAACAUUUAUGCUUAUACAUAUUAAAUAGGUCUAAAUGUGUUUAGACCUAUUACCUUGGAACCCAUGCAUAGGAUGGAUGAGAAGGGAUGGCACUGAAGAUGGAAGCCUGGAGACUCUGGCAUGGGAUGGAUGGUGGUAAUGGAGUCUUUGAACCUGGAGCAUGGAGUGGGAAGGAAGAAGUGAGAAGGCAUUCAAAGUCACCAGUGAGGCUGGGCACCAUGGCUCACACCUGUAAUCCCAGCACUUUGAGAGGUCAAGACAGGCAGAUCACUUGAGCUCUGGAGUUCAAGACCAGCCUGGGCAACAUGAUGAGACCCCCAUCUCUAUUAAAAAUAGAAAAAAUAGCCAGGAGUGGUGGUGUGUGCCUGUAGUCCUAGCUACUAGGGGAGCUGAGGUGGGAGGAUCACUUAAGCCCAGGAGGUGGAGGUUGCAGUGAGCUGAGAUUGUGCCACUGCACUCCAGCCCAGGUGACAGAGUGAGACAUUGUCUCAAACAAACAAACAAAUUAAAAUAACACAAACACACACACAAAAACAAAAAAACAAAAAUACAAAAACAAACAAAAAACAGUCACCACAGAAGCAAACUGUUGUGUCUCUUUGAUGUUGAGGGAAAAAUCAAACGUGACUUCAGAGCUCUAACCUGAAAGGUUGAGUGGGAAACAAACUCCCAAUAAAAGAACAUAAAUUAUGUCUGGGGGAGAAAAGAAGACAAAGUUGAGUUCAGCCUUUGCUUUAUUGAUUCUUCUUCUGAAGGAGGUUCUUCUAAAACAGGGAGUCACAUUUAGCCUUUGCUCGUUCUUCUCCUCUUCCCAAAGGGGUUCUUCUAAAUGUUGGGCUGAACUAGGGCUCAAACAUAAGCUUCCUUCUCUCUCCAGGGGAUCUCACUCAGCCCCAGGACUUGACACAUCCACUCAAAAUCCUAAAUUCCCAUCUCUGGCUUUGACAUCUUUUCUCUACUUCAGAUUCAUGCAUGUAACUGUAUGCUCAACUUCUCAGCUCAGAUAAAUGAUUAGGGCUUCCAAGUUAACCCAUCCCAAACCAUCUGGAAAGCCUUCACUGGAUUCACCACCACCCCUGAGAAGUGUUUUGGCAGAAGACUUUGGAAACUUUGAACUCUUCUUUCUCUCAUCUCCCCCUUAUACAAUUCAUUGGCAAGUCUCUUGAAUGACCUCAAACAUUUGUCAAAUUGGAUCAGAUUUUCCUGCCUUUGCUUUCUUCACCCUCAUGCAUGACAUAUGUCAUCUGGAUCAUAGCCACAUCCUCUUGAUUGAUCUCUUGGCUUCUGUCCUGGUUUCUGCUUUGAUCCUGGAAUUAUUCUUAAGCAGAGAAAUCUUUCAAAAAUAGAGAUGAUUUUUAGCUUGUGGUCCUCAUCCCUUGCUAAUGACUAAAUAGCAAAGUUUCCCAAAAUUUGUAUGUUGAAGGCCUAACCCCUACUAGUCAUGUCCCUCCAAAAUGCACCAUAUGGAAACCCUAAUCCCCAAUGGGAUGAUAUUAGGAGGUGAAGUCUCUGGAGGUGAUGAGGUUUAGAUGAGGUCAUGAGGAUGGGUCCUUCAUGACGGGAUUAGUAUCCUUAUAAGAAGAGCGAGAGACACAAAAGUGCUCUCUCUCUCUCUCUCUUUCUCUCUCUGAAUGCACCAUCUGUGAACCAGCAAGAGGACCCACUCCAGACAAUAAAUCUGCCAUACCUUGAUCUCGGACUUCCCCAUCUCCAGAACUGUGAGAAAUCAAUGGCUGUUACUUAAGCCACCCAGUCUAUAAUUUUUGUUAUGGCAACCCGAGCUGAAUAAGACAUCCCUCAUUGCCACUCAAAACCCGCCAAUAAUUUCACAUCGAAGUCAGAAUACAAUCUAACUACUUCCCUAUGGCUUCUUUGUAACUCUGCCCCUGGUCACUUGCUCCAACUGGGACUCUGUGGUCCCAAUAAAAUAACGUAAAUUAUGUCUGGGGAAGAAAAGAAGACAAAGUUGAGUUCAGCCUUUGCUUUACUGAUUCUUCUUCUGAAGGGGGUUCUUCUAAAACAAGGAGUCAUCACGUUUAGCCUUUGCUUGUUCUUCUUUGCUGCCCCCUUGGGCAUCCCCCCAGUCAUGCCAAAUUCAUUCCUGCUGCAGACCUCCAGUACAUUACUCCUUCUGUGAGUGUCCUCUGGCCGCCAUCACCAAUGAUCACAUUCGUAUUGGCUUAAAGCAACACAAAUGUAUUGUCUUACAGUGUUGUAGUUUUGAAGCCCACCCUGGGUCUCACUGGCCUAAAACCAAGGUGUCAGCAAAACUUCCCUCUUGAUGCAAGUUCUGGGGGAGAAUCAGUUUCCUUGCCAUUUCCUGCUUCUAGGGGAAUGUUUCUAGAGUAUUCCUUGGCUCCUGGACCCUUCCUUGAACUUCAGAGCCAGUAGUGCAGCAUCUUCUAAUUUCUCUGUGACUCUGACCUUUGCUUUUGUCCUAACAUCACCUCCUCUGGCUCUGGCACUCCUGCCUCCCUCUUACAAAGAUCCUGUGAUGAUCUUAGACCCAGCUGGAUAAUCCAGGGUCAUUUCAUCUCAUGAUUCUUAAACUAAUCACAUCUGCAAAAUCUUUUUAGCCAUGACAGGUUUUUACAGAUUUCUAGAAUUAGGAUGUGGAUAUUUUUUUGAGGGGGGGAAGGGGGUGCUUACUCUGUCAACCCACAUGGGGAUUAGGAUGUAGACAUCCUUGGGGCCAUUAUUCUGUCUGCUACCUAGUAUUAGGCCAUGGACAUCUUUGGGACCAUUAUUCUCUGUAUCACAUGAGGAGUAGGACAUGGGUAUCUUUGGGACCAUUAUUCUGUCUCCCACAUGGGGAUUAGGAUGUGGACAUCUUUGGGGCCAUUAUUCUGUCUGCCACGUGGGGAUAAGGAUGUGUACAUCUUUGAGGCCAUUAUUCUGUCUACCACAUGGGGAUUAGUAUGUGGACAUCUUUGGGGUCAUUAUUCUGUCUACCACAUGGGGAUUAGGACGUGGACAUCUUUGGGGCCAUUAUUCUGUCUGCCACGUGGGGAUUAGGAUGUGUACAUCUUUGGGGCCAUUAUUCUGUCUAUCACAUGGGGAUUAGGAUGUGGACAUCUUUGGGGCCAUUAUUCUGUCUGCCACAUGGGGAUUAGGAUGUGUACAUCUUUGGGGCCAUUAUUCUGUCUAUCACAUGAGGAUUAGGACGUGGACAUCUUUGGGGCCAUUAUUCUGUCUGCCACAUGGGAUUAGGACAUGGACAUAUUUGAGGCCAUUAUUCUGUCUACCAAAUGGAGAUUAGGAUGUGGACAUCUUUGGGGCCAUUAUUCUGUCUCCCACAUGAGGAUUAGGAUGUGGACAUCUUUGAGGCCAUUAUUCUGUCUCCCACAUGGGAUUAGGAUGUGAAGAUCUUUGGGAACAUUAUUGUUUUCACCACAUGGGAUUAGGACAUGGACAUCUUUGGGGCCAUUAUUCUGUCUACCACACGGGAUUAGGAUGUGGACAUCUUUGGGACCACUAUUCUGUCUACCUCAUGGGGAUUAGGAUAUGGACAUCUCUGGGACCAUUAUUCUGUCUACCACAUGGGAAAUAGGAUGUUGGUCACAUCUUUAGGAUCAUUAUUCUGUCUCCCACAUGGGGAUUAGGAUGUGGACAUUUUUGGGGCCAUUAUUCUGUCUACCACAUGGGGAUUAGGACAUGGACAUCUCUGGGGACAUUAUUCUGUCUACCACAUGGGGAAUAGGAUAUUGGUAACAUCUUUAGGGCCAUUAUUCUGUCUACCACAUGGGGAUUAGGACAUGGAUAUCUUUGGGGCCAUUAUUCCGUCUACCACGAGAUAAUUACAACUUGGACAUCUUUGGUGAAAUCACGUUGUCUUCGUCCUUUCUUAUUCUUAGAAUUCUCCUAGUGACAAGCGUCUUCUUCUUCCUCAACUUCUUCUUCCUCAGCAUUCCUAUGGGGCCUCCAACACUCACCAGACAGCUCCCUGACUGCAUUACCCUAGAUUGUAUUUGACCAAGAUUCUCGGGUUUUUCUUGGUUUCUCCAAGCAGAAUGGAAGCUUUAGAGGGCAGAGUGUUUGUUACUCUUUCUUAUUCUAAUUGUGUAUUCUUAUUUACUGACGUGUCUCCAGCUUUCAAGGCAGAGUCUCACCCAUUAGGUCUUCUAUAUACAAUUAAAUUUACCUAGAAAGUAUUUCCUUCUUAUUUAAAACUUUUUAAAAGUAAAUUCAUGUAUACAUAUGUAACCAACCUGCAUGUCGUGCACAUGUACCCUAAAACUUAAAGUAUAAUAAUAAUAAAAUUUUUAAAAAAGAAAGAUAACAACCAAAAAACAACAAAAAAGUAAAUUCCAAAAUUUCUAUAUCACAUUACAAAUUCACAUGCCACCCACGAAGAAUACAUUUGCAAAAUAAAUGAUGUCUUGAGACGAAAUGAGUUUUCAAUGAAGAUUUUAGAGACUCUUUAUUUUUAUUUUUAUUUUUUAGACAGAGUCUCACUCUGUCACCCUGGCUGUAGUGCAGUGGCGUGAUCUCGGCUCACCACAACCUCUGCCUCCCGGGUUCAAGCAAUUCUCUGCCUCAGCCUCCCGAGCAGAUGAGAUUACAGGAACCCUCCACCUUGUCCGGCUAAUUUUUGUAUUUUUAGUAGACACAGGUUUCACCUUCUUGGCCAGGCUGGUCUUGACCUCCUGACCUCAGGUAAUCCACCCACCUCGGCCUCCCAGAGUGCUAGGAUUACAGAUGUGAGCCACCGUGCCUGGCCGAGACUUUUUAAUACAUGCUUUGGUUCUAAUAAAGUUCCCCAUUGAGCUGUUUGGACAGAUGACAGGGAAGAAAUCAUUUACAAUUCUCUUAACAAAACCCCCGUAAAGAAUAACCCAUUUCCCCCCAAAUAGGAAAGGGAACUAUUUCACCCUGCUCUUUGAGGAAAUUGAAUAAAUAGUAAAUGAAGUUCUGUCUGUACAGGAAGUGUGGGUACUUGGCAUUACAUCUAGACAAGUAAAGACACAAGUGUUUUCUUCCAAAUGAAUGACAUGUUUAAAAACCUUCAUCACCACCCUCUCUGUGAUUACAAGUUUUGAGUGCCUUUUAACCACUGGGUGCUAGAAGCAAAUUUCCAUGUGAACACACCCUCCUUCUUCUUCUCCUCCUGCUCCUCCCGCUCCUCCUCCUCCUCCUUUUCUCCUUGUCCUUCUUCUUCUUCUUCUUCUUCCUCUUCCUCCUCUCCUUCUCCUUCUUCUCCCUCUUCUCCCUCUUCCUCUUCUUCCUCCUCUCCUUCUCCUUCUUUUUCCCCUUCCCCUUCCCCUUCUUCCUCCUCCUCCUCCUUCUCCUCCUCCUCCUCCUCCUCUUCUUCUUCUUCUUCUUCUUCUUCUUCUUCUUCUUCUCCUUCUCCUUCUCCUUCUCCUCCUUCUCCUUCUUCACUUCAAGUUAUGGUAUACAUUUGCAGAACGUGCAGGUUUGUUACAUAGGUAUACAUGUGCCAUGGUGGUUUGCUGCACCUAUCAACCCAUCAUCUAGGUUUUAAGCCCUGCCUGCAUUAUGUAUUUGUCCUAAUGCUGCCCCUCCCCUUUCCCCCAACCCCCAGACAAGCCCCAGUGUGUUAUGUUCCCCUCUCUGUGUCCACGUGUUCUCAUUGUUCAACUCCCUCUUAUGAGUGAGAACAUGGGGUGUUUGGUUUUCUGUUCCUGUGUUAGUUUGCUGAGAAUGAUGGCUUCCAGCUUCAUCCAUGUCCCUGCAAAGGACAUGAAUGCAUCCCUUUUUAUGGCUGCAUAGUAUUCCAUGGUGUCUAUGUGCCACAUUUUCUUUAUCCAGUUUAUCACUGAUGGGCAUUUGGGUUGGUUCCAAGUCUUUGCUGUUGUGAAUAGGAGCACAUCCUCCUGAUUCAACAAUGAGAUCAUCGUCCACUGUUCUGUUCAGGAGUACAGAAAGGUCCCAGGCUGCUAAGACAAUCUCGAAUUCUCUCAACACCCCACAGCUUGUCAAUACUGGAGGUAUUCUGGUGAUUUUUUUUUUUUGGAAAGUGGCUAUUUAUAUAUCACAAGGUUUCUUGAUUACAAAAGCAGUCAACUGGCCAGGCGCAGUGGCUCAUGCCUGUAAUCCCAGCACUUUGGGAGGCCAAGGCUGGUGGAUCAUGAGGUCAGGAGAUCGAGACCAGCCUGGCCAACAUGGUGAAACCCUGUCUCUACUAAAAAUACAAAAAUUAGCCAGGCAUGGUGGUCAUCCUUUUUUAUGGCUGCAUAGUAUUCCAUGCAUACAUGGCACAUUUUCUUUAAGGGUGCAUGUUGGGAGGAGGGAAAGGAUCAGAAAAAAAUAACUUAUUGUGUACAAAGCUUUGUACCUGGGUGACAAAAUAAUCUGUACAACAAACCCCUAUGACAUGAGUUUACCUAUAUAACAAACCCACACAUGUACCCCUAGACCUAAAUAAAAGUGUUUUUGUUUGUUUGUGUUUUUGUUUUUGUUGUGUUUGUAUGUUUGUAAUCCCAACUACUUGGGAGGCUGAGGCAGGAGAAUUGCUUGAACCCGGGAGGUGUAGGUUGCAGUGAUCAGAGAUCGCUCCAGCCUUGGUGACAGAGUGAGACUCCAUCUCCAAAAAAAAAACCAAAAAACAAAAAACUCGUCUCUCUACCUACCUGCUCUCUUUCCCCAUUCCUGUUACAUAGAUUACUUCUUACCUCCCCAGGUACCCUGGAAGGUCAGAGUCUUCCCUUCUUCCUUCUAUUUAAAUAAAACAAUAUGAGAAAACUGCUUGACAGGUGGUUCCAAGCAUCAGUGGGGUGAAAAAACAAUAUUCUUCGUGAUGUGGGUAACACCAGGAAAAAAAAAAAUCAGUGUCUCUUGUCCAUAGGUUCUCAUCAUUUAGCUCUCACUUUUAUUUUUAAUUAAUUAAUUUUUUUUUGAGACAGAGUCUCACUCUGUCACCCAGGCUGGACUGCAGUGGCAAGAUCUCGGCUCACUGUACACUCCACCUCCCGAGUUCAAGUGAUUCUCCUGCCUCAACCUCCUGGGUCACUGGGAUUACAGGUGUCUGCCAGCACUCCUGGCUAACUUUUGUAUUUUCAGUAGAGACGGGACUUCACCAUAUUGGUCAGGCUGGUCUAGAACUCCUGUCCUCAAAUGAUCUGCCCUCCUCGGCCUCCCAGAGUGCUGGGAUUACAGGCAUGAGCCACUGUGCCUGGCUGGUAACGCUCUUUCAUGAUAGAAUCUUUAUUUUUAAAUUUAUUUAUUUAUUUUGAGACUGAGUCCCACUCUGCCACUCAGGCUGGAGUACAGUGGCACGAUCUCGGCUCACUGCAACCUUCACCACCCGGGUUCAAGUGAGUCUUCUGCCUCAGUGCCCCCCGAGUGUCUAGGAUUACAGGCAUGCGCCACCAUGCCGAGCUAAUUUUUGUAUUUUUAGGAGAAAUGAGGUUUCAUCAUGUUGGCCAGGCUGGUCUCUAACUCCUGACCUUAAGUGAUCCACCCACCUUGGCCUCCCAAUGUGAUGGAAUUACAAGUGUGAGCCACCACACCCGGCUGGCUCCCACUUUUAAAUGAAAACGUGUGGUAUUUAGUUUUCUGUUCCUGCAUUGGUUUGCUAAGCAUACCAUAGCUCCAGCUGUGUUCCUGCAAAAGAUAUGAGCUCAUCCUUUUUUAUGGCUGCAUAGUAUCCCAUGCAUAUGUGGCACAUUUUCUUUAAGGGUGCAGGUUGGGAGGAGGGACUGGAUCAGAAAAAAAUAACUUAUUGUGUACAAAGUUUGUACCUGGGUGACAAAAUAAUCUGUACAACAAAACCCUAUGACAUGAGUUUACCUAUAUAACAAACCCACACAUGUACCCCUGGACCUAAAAUAAAAGUGUUUUUGUUUGUUUGUUUUUUUGUUUUUGUUGUGUUUGUAUGUUUGUUUGAGAUGGAGUCUCUGCCUUUGUUGCUCAGGCCAGAGUACAGUGGUGCAAUCUUGGCUCACUGCAACCUCCACCUCCCAGAAAAAGAAAGCAAAUACGGCAAACAGCAUCAGCUUUUUAGAAGAAGCUGGAGCUUCUGGUGGGUGGACCAUGCUGGAGCUUCUGGUGGGUGGGCGAUGCUGGAGCUUCUAGUGGGUGGACGAUGCUGAAUCUUCUGGUGGGUGGACUAUGGUGGAGCUUCUGGUGGGUAAAUAAUGUUGGAGCUUCUGGUGAGUAGACCAUGGUGGAGCUUCUGGUGGAUAAAUUAUGCUGGAGCUACUCAUGGGUAAAUCAUGCUGGAGCUUCUGGUAGGUGGACCAUGCUGGGGCUUCUGGUGGGUGAACCAUACUGGAGCUUCUGGUAGGUGGACCAUGGUGGAGCUUCUGGUGGGUGGACCAUGCUGGGGCUUCUGGUGGGUGAACCAUACUGGAGCUUCUGGUAGGUGGACCAUGGUGGAGCUUCUGGUGGGUAGACCAUGGUGGAGCUUCUGGUGGGUGGAGCAUGCUGGAGCUUCUGGUGGGGUAAAUCAUGCUGGAGCUUCUGGUGGGUAAAUCAUGCUGGAGCUUCUGGUGAGUAGACCACGGUGGAGCUUCUGGUGGAUAAAUUAUGCUGGCGCUUCUCGUGGGUAAAUCAUGCUGCAACUUCUGGUGGGUAAAUCAUGCUGGAGCUUCUGGUGAGUAGACCACGGUGGAGCUUCUGGUGGAUAAAUUAUGCUGGAGCUUCUCGUGGGUAAAUCAUGCUGGAGCUUCUGGUGGGUGGACCAUGCUGGAGCUUCUCAUGGGUAAAUCAUGCUGGAGCUUCUGGUGGGUGGAUCAUGCUGGAGCUUCUGGUGGGUGGAUCAUGCUCGAGCUUCUGGUGGAUGGACCAUGCUGGAGCUUCUGGUGGGUGGACCAUGGUGGAGCUUCUGGUGAGUAGACCAUGGUGGGAGCUUCUUGGAGGUAAAUUAUGCUGGAGCUUCUGAUGGGUGGACCAUGCUGGAGCUUCUGGUGGGUGGACCAUGGUGGAGCUUCUGGUGGGUGGACCAUGGUGGAGCUUCUGGUGGGUAAAUUAUGCUGGAGCUUCUGGUGGGUGGACCAUGUUGGAACCUCUGGUGGGUGGAUCAUGCUGAAGCUUCUGGUGGGUAAAUCAUGCUGAAGCUUCUGGUGGGUAAAUCAUGCUGGAACCUCUGGUGGGUAAAUCAUGCUGGAGCUUCUGGUGGGUAAAUUAUGUUGGAGCCUCUGGUGGGUAAAUCAUGCUGAAGCUUCUGGUGGGUAAAUCAUGCUAGAGCCUCUGGUGGGUAAAUCAUGCUGGAGCCUCUGGUGGGUAAAUCAUGCUGGAGCCUCUGGUGGGUAAAUCAUGCUGGAGCCUCUGGUGGGUGGGGUAUCCACACACCUGUGGGUGCCAAUUGAUAGUGGGGACUUCACCCCAUGUCCCAGAAUCCUGCAAGGAGGCCACAUGCCCCAUAAAUUCUUUCCAGUAAGUUAAUACGUCCACAGCACGCUGUGCGUUCCCCCAAAAAUGACAUCGGCCAAUUACACUUUCAAAUCACAUGCCUUCCUGAUGGGCAAAACUGGAAAUGUGAACACACUUUAAUCCUCAGAUAAUGUAAUGGUUUACAUCUGGGGCUCUUCAGGCAGCCCAUGGCUGGUUCACGUUGCUCCCUUCCAAUAAAUGUUUUGCAGUAUGUGUCUUGUUUAAUAACGAUUUAAACAUGGAAAAUAAAUGCUUUCCUCUUAGGCGUCCACCUGUCUAUCACCCGGAGUCUGGGAGGACGGCCCUUCUUUUCAACGGCAUUCGCCAAGCCAGUCUCCAUGAAUCACUGACAGAGUCCUCUAAUGGUUUCCUUUUUUGUUGUUGUUGUUUAACACUUAAGCAUUG
RNAcentral lists this long non-coding RNA (11843 nucleotides) under Homo sapiens (human). RNAcentral describes it as "long non-coding RNA NONHSAT191194.1". Lineage: Eukaryota; Metazoa; Chordata; Mammalia; Primates; Hominidae. The record is from RNAcentral.